CGGAUUGUAACUAGCUAUUGCAUGACUAGGUAAAUGAUAUAAUUUCAUAAAAUACAUAAAGGUGUUGUAAAUAUACAUUUCUACUAUAAUUCAUGCAUUGCAUUGCGCUUGUUCUUUGAAAACCGCAAGCAAUUUUAUCCCCUAGUCCGACCUAUUCAACAUUUCAACUGAUUUCAAGUCAAUUAUAUUUGCUCCCAACGUGAGCCAGACCUGAAGCCUAGUCCCGAAGCUAACCACAAUCUUCCCCUCCACAAUGAUUACACACGAGUGAAUGUUUCACUACCCAUUUGAAAAUUCAUAAUUUUAUCAACUCAAAUUGCCAGAGGUAGGGUGCAUAUUGUCACAGAUUUCAAGAUUAUUCGCAAAAUGAGUUGUUCCUAACUUGGUUUUGAAUUUUAUUGUCUAGUCAUGUAUAUUGUGGACAAUUGGCAAUAAAGGGAAAAAGAAAAAUAAUCGAAGCUUUAUCAAUUCGACUCUAAAGGCAGAUCAUCUUGAUGCAGCACUCAAACAUAGUAGCCAGUAAAUGUGAAUCCUCGACCUACAAUUUCUCCAGCACAAAACCAUGCAAAGCACUCCAAUCCAAAUAAAGCAGCAAUGCUAGCAUCCUCAACCCUGAGCUCCUGCCUAUUUUUCCACAUACGCUUAACAUAAUCAAGCUCCUUCCAGAAUGCUUCAUACCGCCCAGGAAUACUGUUUAAAACAACCAAAUAGAUAGAUUUUUAAGCUUGAAAACAUAUGAAAAAAAUGUGCAAAUGCUGCAUCGACUGUUAUAUAUAAUUACCCCAUGCAAAGAAUGUAGAUUGGCCUGUAACAUGCUAACGCACACUAUACAGAUACAGAUAACCUAUGAUUGACAUCUUACCACCAAGUUCUACUAAAAAUGCCAUUGUGUAGAACCCCGACCCCGUUUUCAUAAUAUUAGCUUAAAAAGCCAGUAGGUUGUCAGCUUCAUUGGAGGACAUUGCUUUCGUCGUCUAGUGUUUUGAGUUCUAUUAGAAUACCUUAUCCUCCAUGUUGUGACUUAUUUUCUUCCUCCUUUAAAUAAAAUUUCUUUCCUCACAAAAUAAUAAUAAUAACAAUAAAAAAGAUGUACUGUUAACCCUCAUUGCAAAUAUGUCACCAUCUACUAUGUUACCAAUAAUUACUAAUCAAAUGGCAGUGCAAUGGUGAUUAGCCUUCACGUUUCGAAUAUGAGAAGGGUAUAAAACUGUGACUAGUGCCUUCUCCCCUUCAAGAACCUAUGAAGUAUGAACUAUAUCAUAUUGGAUAACUAAAAUAUAAUCUUCCAAAUACAAAGACUAUGAUAAAGUUGGAGACAUUAACUCUCUGGCCAAUUUAUUUCAUGGAAAUCAAUUACUCCCUUCAAAAUGAUUUCUUAGAGAACCAGGGAGAUUAAUGGUCACUUGCAGCAAGAAAAACUAGGCCAAAGUUACCAUUUAGCAUGUAAAUGUAAAAUAAUAAAGAGGGGGGAAGAUCUGCCAGUGAUAAACAUGAAUGGCAUUAAAAACUAGCAUAAUUCUCAGUAUGUAAAAAAAUUACCAUGCGAAAGCAAGGCAUUUCACAUCCCAUGAAAGUAUUGAAAAGUAGCAUAAUUCUUUCUCAACAUCCAAGAAAGUUAGACUUAGUGAAAGAAAGGCAUUUCACACAUCGACACAUUCACAUGCACGCAAAUGAAUAUGAUCUAAAAUACGUUGCUGAAUCAAAACAUUUUGCCUGUAACAAGAUACUCUUGGUAAAACAUUACAUCAGGCCAUUCCAAGCCUCAGCCUAGUUUUGGAAUCCAAAUGGAAAGUGAAUCAGCCAAAAGAAGUUAUCCACUAACUAAUAGAUACUUAUACCUAAUUUUCAUUGGGAAGCUUAAUUAGGCACAUAUUAUGACAUAAGUUGUACUCCAUUACUUCAUAUGAUUAGAUAGCAUAACCAUGGAUAACACUUGGAAGGUAUUAAACAUAGGAGAUACCUAAAAAUGAAUUCUUAUAAAAACUUUGCCAUUCCAAGCUAUACAAAACAUUAAAGAAUUGGCCUAAAGUAUAAUUCUAUAAUUUUUCCUGAAUCAAAAUCAAAAUGAUUAGCGACAAAGACUUGGAUGAAGGGACCAACCUUGCAAGACGAGUAUAAAACAACUGUUUUGACAAAAGAUUGCAUUUCUCAACAGUGGGUGGUUCCUGGAUGUACUGCUUGUUCUGCUCUAAUAGCUGCUUGUAGUAGGCAGUACCAUGCUUGGCCACGAAUUGCGAGGCCUGAGCAGCCUUUGAUUGCAACUGAACUAGCUUUGACGCCAUUUUUCCCUGAACCUAUAUCUGCGUUGAUGAUUAGUGAGAGUGAAUAGCUUCGUGUGGCUUUUAUUGUGGGGUUUUUUGGGGUCUCUUCUGCUUGGGUAAAUUUCAGAUUAGGUACCUAAACUUACAUGUUCUAACAAUAUGGUAUCUCAAUCCAUGUUCACUAGAAUUGUAGGAUUGGAUACU
RNAcentral lists this unclassified non-coding RNA (2465 nucleotides) under Hevea brasiliensis (rubber tree). Lineage: Eukaryota; Viridiplantae; Streptophyta; Magnoliopsida; Malpighiales; Euphorbiaceae. The record is from RNAcentral.